This 1162-nucleotide ribosomal RNA is filed under the name Gaetbulibacter sp. AP5. RNAcentral's name for it is "bacterial SSU rRNA". It matches the Rfam family "Bacterial small subunit ribosomal RNA", at positions 47 to 1213 of the family's 1533-position model. The record is from RNAcentral. Lineage: Bacteria; Pseudomonadati; Bacteroidota; Flavobacteriia; Flavobacteriales; Flavobacteriaceae.
CCUAACACAUGCAAGUCGAACGGCAGCACGUCCUUCGGGAUGGUGGCGAGUGGCGCACGGGUGCGUAACGCGUAUGCAACCUACCUUUUACAGUGGGAUAGCCCAGAGAAAUUUGGAUUAAUACCGCAUAGUAUACAGUUCCAGCAUUGGUACUGUAUUAAACAUUUAUGGGUAAGAGAUGGGCAUGCGUUCUAUUAGUUAGUUGGAGUGGUAACGGCACCCCAAGACAGCGAUAGAUAGGGGCCCUGAGAGGGGGAUCCCCCACACUGGUACUGAGACACGGACCAGACUCCUACGGGAGGCAGCAGUGAGGAAUAUUGGACAAUGGGCGCAAGCCUGAUCCAGCCAUGCCGCGUGCAGGAAGACUGCCCUAUGGGUUGUAAACUGCUUUUAUACGGGAAGAAACACCCCCUCGUGAGGGGGUUUGACGGUACCGUAAGAAUAAGGAUCGGCUAACUCCGUGCCAGCAGCCGCGGUAAUACGGAGGAUCCAAGCGUUAUCCGGAAUCAUUGGGUUUAAAGGGUCCGUAGGUGGAUGAUUAAGUCAGAGGUGAAAUCCUGCAGCUCAACUGUAGAAUUGCCUUUGAUACUGGUCAUCUUGAAUUACUGUGAAGUGGUUAGAAUAUGUAGUGUAGCGGUGAAAUGCAUAGAUAUUACAUAGAAUACCAAUUGCGAAGGCAGAUCACUAACAGUACAUUGACACUGAUGGACGAAAGCGUGGGGAGCGAACAGGAUUAGAUACCCUGGUAGUCCACGCCGUAAACGAUGGAUACUAGCUGUCCGGCUUCGGCUGGGUGGCUAAGCGAAAGUGAUAAGUAUCCCACCUGGGGAGUACGUUCGCAAGAAUGAAACUCAAAGGAAUUGACGGGGGCCCGCACAAGCGGUGGAGCAUGUGGUUUAAUUCGAUGAUACGCGAGGAACCUUACCAGGGCUUAAAUGUAGAUUGACAGGGCUAGAGAUAGCUUUUCCUUCGGGCAAUCUACAAGGUGCUGCAUGGUUGUCGUCAGCUCGUGCCGUGAGGUGUCAGGUUAAGUCCUAUAACGAGCGCAACCCCUGUUGUUAGUUGCCAGCGAGUAAUGUCGGGAACUCUAGCAAGACUGCCCGGUGCAAACCGUGAGGAAGGUGGGGAUGACGUCAAAUCAUCACGGCCCUUACGUCCUGGG